Arachis ipaensis is the source of this 2163-nucleotide non-coding RNA. The record is from RefSeq and is a predicted model, not a curated record. Lineage: Eukaryota; Viridiplantae; Streptophyta; Magnoliopsida; Fabales; Fabaceae.
CAACGCUAAUCCAAGCGCAGCCGAAGUAGUGUUGUUCUAGUGCAAGAUUGACUUACGGCAUCUCAAUGUAACUAACUGUUAGAAGCACGCGGUGUUACGGCAAUCUCUCGCCAACUUUCCUUCUCUCAUUUGUUGGGGUGAAGCGGACUCUCGGCGGAACUGCGCAACGUGACGCAGAACAAGUGUCCAAUAUAAACUGAGAAUUGAGAAUUCCUCCUAACCAAAAUUAGAAUGCGGGAUUGUCUAUUCCUCAAGUCAUUCACCAAUUCAUCCUCAGGACCUGCUUCAGUUCCAAGUCUUCCACCGUCUUCCCAUGGUGACAACACACCCAGCACAUCCAGUUCCACAGCGAGCGUCUCUCGCGAAUACAACCUUACAGUGCAGGCCAAAUCCUAUGCGGAGAUUAGGUCCAUGAUGCAGGGUGCUCCAGCGGAGGGCGAAGUGCACCUUCUUAACCCUGACGGAGAUUGUGUAAAUGAAGCACUCAACAACAACACAAUAAUCAGAAACAGAAACGGCAGCCUCACCAGCCUCAUUAGCACUUACUUCAACCAUACCGAAACCGCCUCGCAGCACUGCCUCCGCCUUCAUCGAUGCGUCGAUCGCGCACGAGCCAUGUACGCACCCCUCUUCGACCUCCGCGACUCCCAUGAUUGUGACCGCACCUUCGAUCUCUUCGUUCAGUUCGAUGGCAACGAAAACCCUUUCCCUGAUUCAAAUGUCUCCAGUAAAGACAUCCGUAACUGCCUCACAGACCUUAGAAACCAGCUUGAUUUUGGCCUCGGCAAGUCUCGCUCUCGGAUUCGCCUCUUCCGGCGCGCUACUGCCGGUUCUGCUCUCUGUUUCGUCGCCACUGCGGUUGGAGUGGCAGCUGCGGCGGUUGCACUCACAAUUCAUGCCGUUUUUGCCCUUGCCGCCGCUGCUGGUCCCUUUUGCAGUGCUUACAUCCCCAAUCCGAGUUGUGCGGCUGAAAAGAGGGAAGUUGCCAGGCUGGCACAGCUAGAUGCCGCUGCCAAAGGUGCUUACGUGCUGAGCUAUGACCUCGACACCAUUGAUCGACUCGUGGCUCGACUCCACACUACAAUUGAGGGAGACAAGCUUCUUGUUAGGAUGGGGUUGGAGAGGGGAAGGGCGAGUUAUCCUAUCCAGGAGGUUUUCAAGCUCCUAUGCAAGAACAAUGAAAGUUUUCUCCGCCAGCUUGAUGAUCUUGCGGAGCACAUAUGCCUCUGCAUUUACACUGUCAACAAGGCGAGAGUUUUGCUCCUUAAAGAGAUAUGUGGUCAUCAAACUCCCUAGUUCCUGUUUUUAACCAAUUGAUCCUUUUUUUGUUUGUUGUAUGUGUGAUCAUUGCUGGUCCAGGUCUUCAACGUAAUCUGCUAUUUCAGGAAAGGGUUUAAACUAAUGUUUGUGCUAGAUUUCAGUUCAUACUUCAUACUGCUAUGGCCUAUUGAAGAAACACCCUUAUUGUAUUCACCAUAACCAUCCAUUCAUUCAUAUCAGAGACAGAGAGUAGCUUGCCACCUAAUAGCCAUUGCCACCCUAGUUCAUAUUUCAUUGUUGUGGAAUGUUGAUUGAUUGCAGUAAUCAGAUACAGAUUCAGUUUUGUUUAUGAAAGGAUGCUUUUGUUUGUUUGUACAUAUGCUUGCUUUUUAUGUUGAAGAAUGGUGUGGCUUCGGCAUUUCCAUCUACUUUUUUCAAAGAGAAACCCAGCUUCAUAAUUUGUCUGAAAGAGGUUUGGUCUUUGGUUGGUUGGUCCUUCAAUUUUCUUAGAAAAUUUUCACUUAGAAGUUUUCAUUAAUGGUUUUCAUUGUAUGGCCAGAGCGUUAGGAGGAGGCGAAUUGAUGAGAAGAUGAAGGCCAUGGAAAAAUUAAUUCCGAUUCGAAUAAGACAAAUUUUGAAGUGGACGAAACACCAUCGUAUGAGUCUUAGAAUUAAGGAGUUUCGGACGCUGAAAAUAAUGAAUUUUGGGUGUUAUGAUUAUGUUUUUUGAUGUUGGAAUUGAAGAGUUUUAGAUGUAGAGAUAAUAAAUUUUGGAUAUUAUGGAGUAUUAUGUUUUCCGGGUUGGAAAUGAAGAACACUGAAUGUUAGAAAUAAUGAAAUUCGGAUGUUAAGGGUGCAAAAAUAUAAUGAAAUUUGUAAAUAAUUGAGUCAUUUCAGAUGUUA